Doryrhamphus excisus (bluestripe pipefish) is the source of this 4247-nucleotide non-coding RNA. Lineage: Eukaryota; Metazoa; Chordata; Actinopteri; Syngnathiformes; Syngnathidae. The record is from RefSeq and is a predicted model, not a curated record.
AUGCUAACAAGCAGAGUAAAAAACACAAUGAUUUACAGUAGAUUCGAUUAGAUUUUGUAAGUUACCGCAUAUAAAACAUUAUAUAAUACAGUACGUGGACAGAAGGUGUCUUCAGAGGAGUUGUACAGACGCUGCCAGGGACAAUGAGGAAGUAGUUGUCUAAUGUCCGUGGUGUCUUUAAACGCCACACGACUGCUUCCGUAUUUCUCAGGAAAAAGAAUGUUUUAUUCCGCAAUUCGGUCCAACAAUAUCAGCAAGGCCAUCAAGACUAUGGAGGUUAUAAACCGGGAUCAUCGCAACCAAUUAUGUUUACAGUAAAAUAUAUAUACAUAAAUAUCAAUAAUAACAAGGCGCCCGUACGAACCUCCAGCAGCUCCUGCCCGUGUGGAGCCGGCUCUAAGCGGCUUAGGCGACUCCCCCCUCCCCGCCCCUAAUGGUCCGGUCCUGGCCGGUCCGCCGCCGGUCAGGGGUGGCCGUGGUCUCAGCCUGAUAGAUGUUCCUCGGCGUGGUGGUCUUAUCUUGGUGGUCCAGCAAUGGAGGAAGGUGGAAGAGACGCCAAAAGCCCGCCACACAGCAGCAGCAGCUUGGCUAAUCUUAGGGAGUGUGGCGCAAUGACAAGACACAGUACAAACACACACACACACACACACACACACAAGAUAGGGACCGUCUUACAAGUGCAAAACGCAGAUAGCAUUCAACAGUCUAAAACCCCCCACUAACUCCAGAGUUCAACAUACUAGCAAAUGUUUAUUGUGUUUAAAAAAAACAAUACAGUUAUACAGUGCUUCAAUUAAGGCGGCUCAAUGUAACAUAACACAGGGAAACAUGUUGUGGUGCCAGACCUGAUCAGAAUAUGACUUUUUUCUUGCAGCUCGAGAUUAUGACAUAAUGCACGUAUUAAUACAUUAUAUUUUCUUCCAAGACCAUUAGCAGUCUUCAACAAUCAUAAAUACAUUCAACAUGUAGUUUUCUUCUAUCUAAAAGGCAAUUGCAAUGAUUUGUGGACAUCCACAUAUGGAUUAGCAUACCAGUCACAUCAUUCUGCACCAGUUAAAACUGAUGAUAUUUAGAAUCAGCCACCAAUAUUUACCCUCAAAAAAUCGUCUUCUAAUAUCCUAAGCACCAAAUUCUAUGUUCCCCAGUAUUAUUUACAACAAACAGUCAUAGGAAAUCAUAUUGGGCACUUCAUUAGGUCGCAUCAUCGCAAAUCGCAUCAUUUGGCCAUUUGAGUCGAUUGUUCUGUUUUUAAAAAAUAUUGGUUUUGAAUUGUAUUGAAUUGAAUCAUCCAUCAGAAAGAGAUUUAGUCACGCUGGCAUUUGGACUCUAGUCCUGAGCGAGGCAAGUGUGCACACUGACCACACCAGUGCACCGAAACACUCGAUAUGAUGAUCUGGCAAAAUACCCACCAUAGAAAGUUUUGGAUGCAUGGCUCGGCAUCACUUUACGCCAUCAAAUCAAGGCAUGACGUUAUUGCAUGCUAGUUUGCUUAACAGAGCAUUACUUGAUCCGCUGACAAAAAUACAAAUAUGUGAACGCAAAACAGACCUCACUAAAGUGAACAAGUAUCUUUCUAAAAAUGUUGGUCCAGACCAGACUAACUGACUAAGGAUGAACACACUUUAAAGACCUAUACACAAUAGUGCAAGUUGGAUGUGUGCUAAUGAGAUUGUAUAACACCACACAUUAGACACUGGUGGUGGCAGUAAGGCAUUCACUCCGCCUUCAUCAGCUCCCUGACAUCGGAGGGCAGCGUUUCGAACAGCGCAUCCUCCACAAUGAGGCCGCUGCGCUUCAAAGUACGACAGAAGCCCAGCUCUGCAGGCAGAACCUCAAAGUGGUUCCCUUUGAGCUCCAAGUGCGUGAGCUGAACGAGGCGACAGAAAAGUACUGCAGACUCUGAAGGACUCCGAUUUCUGGAGGGAUGAACCUGAUGUCGUUGUGGCACAGAUCCAGGUAGCGGAGUUUGUUACACAAGAACAAAUGUGAGGGUAGAAUCUCAAUCUUGUUGUGGCUGAAGUAGAGGCGCUCAAGACUCCCUAGCUUCUUGAUGUGCUCAGGGAUGUACAUCACGCCGUUGUACCAAAGCUUAAGGCAGGUGAGUUUGCGGAGAUGCUGAAAACUGAUGAUCUCCUCGAUGGAACGGAGGUUGUUCUCCUUGAGGUCAAGCUCCUGCAGGGUGGUCAGGCUAAAGAUGGCAUGAGGAAUACGCUCCAAGUCACAGCGCACCAUCUCCAGCUCGGUCAGGUUGUUCAUCUUCUUCAGGUUGUUGAGCAUCACCAGUUUGGUGCCAUCAUUAUGUAGAUACAGCCUCUGUAGAUGGCUGGAGACGUCCACAAUGGACUGGGGUAUCUUGGUCAAGUUGCUCUUUAGCGAGAGCGUCUUCAGGCACUUCAUCUCCCGCAGUGACUCCAGAACAAUAUUCUUGGAGGCGUCAGGGCAGAGUGAUCCUGUGAGAUAGAGCUCUUCUAAGUUCCUCAGACCAUACAGCCAGCUUGGGAACUCUCUGCUGUCAUCAAACUUGAUCCGAAGUACUUUGAGGUUCUCUUUGAGGAAGGAGGUCGCUGUGGUGUGCAGCUUGAUGGAGCACUGGUAGAGAGACAGUUCCUGGAGGUCUGCCAACUGGGAGACAGAGGCAGGGAUGGUCACGUUGUUGAUGAUCUCCAGUUUAAGCGACUGAAGCUCCGUCAGCUCAAAGACGGUGUCGGGCAGCCCGGGCAGCAUGAAGAGCUGCAGCUCAAGUCGGUUGUUGCCGUUGAUUUGCAGUCUCUGACGAAGUUUGUCGGCUGUCCACUCAUGGUUCAGAUUGAGUUGCUUCAGCUUGUUCUCGCUGACCUCAGAGAGGAACACAGCAAAUCUUUUCGAGUACAAGGGGUCGUACUGGUCGAUCAUGUGCAGCAUGAAAGCAAAGUCGUUUUUAACAUCCGGGAUGUCGUUGAUGCCCGUUUCCUGGCGGACAUACUCAAAGGAGUAUUCCUUGAGGGAGCGGUAAAACAGCCAGUAGGAGGUGUACAGACUGGUUAAUCCAUAGACGGCUACCAAGCACAGGUAGCAGUAGGAGAGCUUGGAGAAGAGGUGAGCCAUGGUGUGAUUGCACUCAAAGUCUUUGUAGCCGGUCAUGUCCUGUAUCUCCACCUCACAGGGAACUCUGUUCCUCACUUUGUUGACCAGGGAGCUGUUGUAUGCGAUGAUCAGAAGGAACUUAAAGACCUUGAAGACCGUUUGGCGAACAUACAUUAUGUAGAGGAUGUCUCCUUCUUCUACAUGCAAGCGGAACUUCUUGACUUUCUCAAAAAGAGCUUUGGCUUGUUCGCCCUCUUUUUUAUCAAGAGCGCUCGCUGAGGGUUUGUCCACGACUAUCUUCUCCGGGAUGGACCUGAGCGACUGUGUUUUCUCCAAACAGACAUCUCCGGGGGAUGCGACCAUGUUGGACCGGGCAGUCCCGCUCUUUUUAUGGUCCUUUUCUUCUGGGUUUUCUCCAGAAACCUCGGACAAAGCCCGGGUGGUCCAGGGAGAGUCAAAGCACUUGCCAAGCAUAGAGAUAAAGUGCUCUAUUUUGGAGCUGGAACCCGGGAAUUUGAACCAGAAGUUGCUGCACACCAUGAAAAUCAGCGUGUGUAUCAGAACCAAAUAAGGAAAGUACUUGGCGUACCAAUGCAGGGCCUUCUCAUAACACAUCUGGUUGAUGAAACUGUACUGCUGGAGGUCCAGAUCAGUCUUCCGGCCAGUCAUCUCUCUUGGCACGGCCGACAUGUUGUAAUGCAUGUGUAACGGCGUCACCUCCACUUCAGUGGUGUUCUCCUGAGAUGUUCUGUGUGGGAGGCAGAUGAUCUUGUCUUGCAUUACCUACCGCACAAAGUGAAAACAAGGAGGAUUAGCCGUGUUGUUUAUGCAGUUUUAUCGCAUGAAACAUCUGCUUUAACAUUUGACAGAGCAGCCAGCCAGCCAAGCACUAGUAGAUCUUCAAAUUGUAGCCCCGAGUAGCAGUAGAUAGUUUAGUCCUGUUUAUACUUCAAUUACAAUAACCUGUUUCUUUUGGUAUUUAUUGAAUUAAGCCUGAUUAAAUAUUCCUACGGUUGUACAAUUUGGAAUUUGACCAAAAGUAUGGAGUUAAGCAAGAAUAUUAGCUUUUUAUUAUUAAAAAAAACACCUCUCUGUAGGUUGAUUUAUCAUUAAUUUGAUGUUUUACCGUGUCAACUGUGUGUGAAAAUGUGUUAACUGCAUUUUACAAGUGAAACGUGGCUAAA